GACUGCGUAGCUCAGUAGGUAGUAGCACGACACUUUUAAUGUCGGGGUCGUGGGUUCGAGUCCCACCGCAGUCA
Molecule: transfer RNA, 74 nt
Filed under: Bacteroidales bacterium
Lineage: Bacteria; Pseudomonadati; Bacteroidota; Bacteroidia; Bacteroidales
Description: tRNA-Lys
Rfam family: tRNA
About the family: Transfer RNA (tRNA) molecules are approximately 80 nucleotides in length. Their secondary structure includes four short double-helical elements and three loops (D, anti-codon, and T loops).
Source: RNAcentral